Molecule: ribosomal RNA, 397 nt
Filed under: uncultured bacterium
Lineage: Bacteria
Description: bacterial SSU rRNA
Rfam family: Bacterial small subunit ribosomal RNA
Source: RNAcentral
UAUUGCACAAUGGGGGAAACCCUGAUGCAGCGACUCCGCGUGAGCGAAGAAGUAUUUCGGUAUGUAAAGCUCUAUCAGCAGGGAAGAAGAUGACGGUACCUGACUAAGAAGCUCCGGCUCAAUACGUGCCAGCAGCCGCGGUAAUACGUAUGGAGCAAGCGGUAUCCGGAUUUACUGGGUGUAAAGGGAGCCUAGGCGGCCUGGCAAGUCUGGUGGGAAAUACCAGGGCCCAACCCCGGGACUGCAUUGGAAACUGACAGGCUGGAGUGUCGGAGGGGCAGGCGGAAUUCCUAGUGUAGCGGUGAAAUGCGUAGAUAUUAGGAGGAACACCGGUGGCGAAGGCGGCCUGCUGGACGACAACUGACGCUGAGGCUCGAAAGCGUGGGGAGCAAACAGG